Molecule: ribosomal RNA, 507 nt
Filed under: uncultured bacterium
Lineage: Bacteria
Description: partial 16S ribosomal RNA
Rfam family: Bacterial small subunit ribosomal RNA
Source: RNAcentral
GACGAACGCUGGCGGCGUGCCUAAUACAUGCAAGUCGAACGCAUUUUCUUUCACCGUAGCUUGCUACACCGAAAGAAAAUGAGUGGCGAACGGGUGAGUAACACGUGGGUAACCUGCCCAUCAGCGGGGGAUAACACUUGGAAACAGGUGCUAAUACCGCAUAAUUCCAUUUACUGCAUGGUAGAUGGAUGAAAGGCGCUUUUGCGUCACUGAUGGAUGGACCCGCGGUGCAUUAGCUAGUUGGUGGGGUAACGGCCUACCAAGGCUGCGAUGCAUAGCCGACCUGAGAGGGUGAUCGGCCACACUGGGACUGAGACACGGCCCAGACUCCUACGGGAGGCAGCAGUAGGGAAUCUUCGGCAAUAGACGCAAGUCUGACCGAGCAACGCCGCGUGAGUGAAGAAGGUUUUCGGAUCGUAAAACUCUGUUGUUAGAAAAGAACAAGGAUAAGAGUGGAAAGUUCAUCCCUUGACGGUAUCUAACCAGAAAGCCACGGCUAACUACGUG